AUGGCCAAGUCAGGUCCUCUUACUCUUCGGCGGAGGGAGGUAUUUCCAGCCCCUGCGACGGGACCUGGGUGCUCAGGACAGCUCUGUCCCCCAGUGAUAGUGACUGCUUGGCCAGGGGUCUUGGGCUCACAGAGUCCUUUGAUCCUCCAAGCCCCCGUGGCAAGAGGCCAUACAGGGAUGGGAGUCCACGCUGCUACCCACGGUAUAUGCAGAACCCCAGGUGAGUCCCAUGGAAGACGGAAGGGACGUCACAAUUUUCACUCUGAAGCAAAGGAAAAUGGCUGUCAUAUGUGACUAUAGGAGGGGACAGAGCCUGACCACCCUUCUGGGUUGGGGAGCAUGGAUACACAGAAUCCAGGGAGAGAAGCUUAGGGAUUGUCUGACCUCCCAAAGUGCAUUAAGCCAGAGUCUGGGUCAAAUGCCAGGUCUUGGCCAUGUGACUGAGAAGGCGCCAACUUGCAACUCUGCAGAGGAGGAGGAGAAAGGGAGGAAGAGAAGGGAUACUUAGAAGUCCUCAUUAUUAGAACAGGCUAGCUGGGCUCAGCAGGUGGGUAGAAACUAUUGGGAGCCUGGAGUAUCGGCUUGCCAGACCUAAAAAAAAAGCGGCAACCCAAGGAAAGUGAUUGGAUUUAUUUGGAAAAUUUCAAAGCACAAACUCAAAUCUGCAUAAGAUUACCAACAGCACAAUUUUGCUCAAUGUUAUUUUUAGGAGAACAUAAUACACAAAGCUGUGCUCAUUUCCCUCAGAAUUUUCCUGAAUAGUAUUAAUCGCUUAAGAAUUAGACGCCAUUUCUGGUUUUCCUUGUCACACCACCAUUUUGAAAUAUCCCAAGUCACAGGUAAGUGAGCCCCUCCCGGAUGAAAAGACAGCCCCAAGGGCAUCACGGGCCUGGGCAGGCAUGGCCACCCCGAGUGCUGCGGAGCGAGCCUGUUUGGUGGGAAGCAGGUCUGUCACUCUGGUGUGGAUACACUAAGAGACAGGAGUUCUGGGCUGUGUUCUGAUAAUGGACCCCUGGUGUUAAAAACCUUCAAAGCAAAACAAAAGCAAGCUAAUCCUGAAAUAUAUUUCACUUGAAGUUUUUGGAUGAUUUUUUUAAAGAUAAAAACGCUUAGGAUUAUUAUAAAUCAUAAUAUUUAUAAAUGAGUAAAAGUAUAUUUAGAAUAGUUUUGUCUACCUGAUUAAAUAUCUGUUUUGGUACAUGUAUAGCUGUGGAAAUUGUGGAUUUGUACUUGGACUGUUGACUUUUUGAGUGUGUCCCCCUUGACCCACUGUGUGCAGCCACAUCCUCAAGUGCAGCCUCCCUUCCGGUGGGCUUACAAGGGGAAGGAGACAGAGCAGGAAGGAGCUGAUGGCUGUAGAAUUGGGAGGUGGCGAUGUCCACACCACACUCACCUCGGUACAUCCAUCCAUGUGCUGUUCAUAAAUUCCUCCAAGACAAUUAGAUUCAGAGACUAUUAUUAAAUGACUUCUUAGCAUGACCCAGAAAUACAAAACACUCUUGUUUUUAAGAUUUUUUUUUGAAGAUUUUACUUAUUUAUUUGAGAGAGUGAGAGAGAGAGCAUGAGCAGGGGGGGAGAGGGAGAAGCAGGCUCCCCACUGAGCAGGGAGCCCGACGUGGGGCUCAAUCCCAGGACCCUGAGAUUGUGAUCUGAGCCAAAGGCAGACGCUUAACCCACUGAGCCACCCAGCACCCUAUUUUUAAAGAUUUUCAAGAAAUCUCUACAUGCAACAUGGGGCUCAAACUCACAACCCCAAUAUCAAGAGUCACCUGCAGUUACUGCCUGAGCCAGCCAGGCACCUCCUAACCCAAGGUUUUUAAAGGAGGCUUAAAUGGGGGUGGGGUGGGGGGGUAGGGCCUGCUGUUUCUCCCCUGGCUCAUGCUCUCUCAAAAAAAUAAAAUCUUAAAAAAAUAAAUAAAUAAAGGGGGCUUAAUGACAGCAACCCACUCUCUAGAUGUCUGUCCCAUAACCAGAGGCAAAGGGUGGGGGGCAGGUUGCCAGUGAAACUCAGCAACCUCCAGGCACAAAACCUACCACCUUUACCUGACCACCUCACCUGCCACCACUGAGAUCAUAAUCCUGGGUCCAAGCUGCAGCUGAGCCCCAGGGUCCAGCUGUGUGACUGGCUGGGGCCUCCCCAACAUACAGGGAGUUGUGAAGUGUCAACGCUGCCUCUAGAAUGUUUUCUCUUUGCUGCCUCCUUGACUGCUUGUCUGGCCUGCCCUGCUCCUUUUUAACACAGUACCCACAGCUCUGCAAAAUUAACAGCAGGGGACCUAAUUCCUUUGACAAAUACCAUUAAAUUAAAAAAAAAAAUAAGUUUUAAGGUUCCCAGCAAAACUGAGCAGAAAGGUCAGAGAGUUCGCAUAUACCCUCUGCCCGCCCCCCAGGCUCCCCUACUACUGACAUCCUGUGCCAGAGCGGACAGUACAAUUUUGAUUUUCUUCUGUGCUCUUCCGGCCAAAGAGCUACUACUCCUUGACCCUGCUGAGCCCUCCAGUAGCCUCUGCCCCACCCGGCUUCCAACACCUCCCUACAGCAUAUCCGUUACUGUCUUAUUACAGGGCAAGAAAUGACAUAUGUCCUAUGCACUUCCAGUGGUCAUUUCAGUUCUGUGAAGCCCUUCAAACUCCGUGGCUUCGUGGGGUCCUAACACAGCCCCAGGACACAGGUGGUAAAAAUAGGAUUACCCGCACUGUAGAGAGGAGGAAACAAGCCCAGAGAAGUCACAUGGCUUAAGCAGAUCCCAUAAUUCAUUGGUAACCAGAAACAGACCCUGGUACUUUCCAGAAGUCAUGCAGUGGCCCUGUUUGGCUAAAACUCUAAUUCCUUUUCCCUUUGACCAUUUACCACAUUUCCUAAUGUGAAAACAUAUGUGCCCUGUCUAGGGUGAGAGCCAGAUGCUGAAGUCCAACUGAAGUUACUGAGCCAACGGAAGAGUUCUUUGUCCUCUAUCAAAAAGCCAAUCUGCCUUCUCUCAGUAGCAGGUGUCCCUGGCCUUGCAGCCAGCUUGUGGGAAGGGGAAGUGCCGGCUCUCCAUGCAGCACAGGGAUGCUUUGCCUGCCCCGCCCCCCCAACCCCAUGAGUCCUGCACGGCCCAGCUGGAGAACAGCAUGGCACUUUGGGAGAGGGGAGGGAGGAUGAUGGCAGGGUUAAGUCUAUAGGAGCAUUUCAGCUCCGAACACCCAAGCUACAGGCCUGGGUGGAGUCGGACACUAGAGUAAAGGAAGACCCGGAAUCCUAAGACUGGAUGGUCAACAGCUUUCAGUUGAAAUCUAGAAGUUAGAAAGGGGAAGACCUGAAGCCAGAGCUUCCAGAGCUCCAUUAUGAGAGCUAGCCACGAUGCUCUGUGCUCACUGCUGGAAGCCGGACCCCUGUACUUGGGUAGAGAGGUACCGCUAAUCGUGACAGACAGUGACUGGAGGUGAAGAUAACAUGCUGUGGAAGGAGAAAAGAAAAAAAGCUCCUCUAUGUGAUUCUAUCACACAGAAGCCGAAACAGAAAAGGUUAUCAAGUCUAGAAAAGAAUAGAGAAGAGUCAUGUUACUGAGAAGACCAGAAAACGUGGGUGAAGGUAGUAAAGUGAAAUAAAAAGUCAUAUUCAGGAUAUCUUAAAACCACCAACUUCUUUAAUUAGAAAGCAACAAACAUGCAAAUGGCAAGUGUAGAAAUUUAUUUGAACCAACAUUUUCACUAUAAUGAAAAUUACUCUUCCACAUUGAUCCAAGCUCUCAUACCUGAAGGUUAGGGAAAAUAUUGCACUUUGCAUUUUCUAGCACGCCUCACACAUGGCAAAAAGUUUUUUAAACAUUUUGCUAGUUUUGUUUUACACACUCUUCCAAAUUCAUGCACACAAUCAUUCCAAACCAAUGUUAGGUUAUCCCGAAAAAAGGGAAAACUCCAAAACACCAUAACCUUAAAAUUGCACUAAAGCUCUGUAAAGAAAAAAAUAGAAUAAAUGUCUUCUACAAAUUUCAGAACAUCUAAG
This 3987-nucleotide long non-coding RNA is filed under the name Zalophus californianus (California sea lion). Its description in RNAcentral is "lncRNA (ENSZCAG00015007281.1)". Lineage: Eukaryota; Metazoa; Chordata; Mammalia; Carnivora; Otariidae. The record is from RNAcentral.